GUCUCAGUAGCGUAGUGGCUAACGCACGAGCACGGUAUAGGCGCGAGACGCGGGUUCGAUUCCCGCCUGAGAUG
This 74-nucleotide transfer RNA is filed under the name Nippostrongylus brasiliensis. It matches the Rfam family "tRNA". Rfam says of the family: Transfer RNA (tRNA) molecules are approximately 80 nucleotides in length. Their secondary structure includes four short double-helical elements and three loops (D, anti-codon, and T loops). Further hydrogen bonds mediate the characteristic L-shaped molecular structure. tRNAs have two regions of fundamental functional importance: the anti-codon, which is responsible for specific mRNA codon recognition, and the 3' end, to which the tRNAs corresponding amino acid is attached (by aminoacyl-tRNA synthetases). tRNAs cope with the degeneracy of the genetic code in two manners: having more than one tRNA (with a specific anti-codon) for a particular amino acid; and 'wobble' base-pairing, i.e. permitting non-standard base-pairing at the 3rd anti-codon position. The record is from Rfam by way of RNAcentral. Lineage: Eukaryota; Metazoa; Nematoda; Chromadorea; Rhabditida; Heligmosomidae.